RNAcentral lists this long non-coding RNA (279 nucleotides) under Vigna radiata. RNAcentral's name for it is "long non-coding RNA (VRAD_LNC004183)". Lineage: Eukaryota; Viridiplantae; Streptophyta; Magnoliopsida; Fabales; Fabaceae. The record is from RNAcentral.
GAAGCAAUAUCAGAGUCAGAUGCAGAAGGAGAAUCAUAAUCAAAGACACAGGCAGAAGAAACAGUAUUCACAAAAUCAAAGUUGGUAGACAUGUAGAAGGAAGGGGGAAAAGAAGAAUGCAAUGAAAAUAUGCAACUAAAGCAACCUAAAUGCAACACACAAUGACGAACACGAACAGAACAUCACACUCACAAGACAAGACAAAACAAAACACACACUAACACAACAAAGACCUAAAACCGAACCGUUGGUCCCCGGCAACAGCGCCAAAAUUUGAUG